AUUGAACGCUGGCGGCAUGCCUUACACAUGCAAGUCGAACGGUAACAGGUCUUCGGAUGCUGACGAGUGGCGAACGGGUGAGUAAUACAUCGGAACGUGCCUAGUAGAGGGGGAUAACUACUCGAAAGAGUGGCUAAUACCGCAUGAGAUCUGCGGAUGAAAGCAGGGGAUCGCAAGACCUUGUGCUACUAGAGCGGCCGAUGGCAGAUUAGGUAGUUGGUGGGAUAAAAGCUUACCAAGCCGACGAUCUGUAGCUGGUCUGAGAGGACGAUCAGCCACACUGGGACUGAGACACGGCCCAGACUCCUACGGGAGGCAGCAGUGGGGAAUUUUGGACAAUGGGCGAAAGCCUGAUCCAGCCAUGCCGCGUGCGGGAUGAAGGCCUUCGGGUUGUAAACUGCUUUUGUACGGAACGAAGAGACUCUGGUUAAUACCUGGGGUCCAUGACGGUACCGUAAGAAUAAGCACCGGCUAACUACGUGCCAGCCGCCGCAGUAA
Molecule: ribosomal RNA, 498 nt
Filed under: uncultured bacterium
Lineage: Bacteria
Description: partial 16S ribosomal RNA
Rfam family: Bacterial small subunit ribosomal RNA
Source: RNAcentral